Phascolarctos cinereus (koala) is the source of this 856-nucleotide RNA transcript. It is a transcript of the gene named spermatogenesis associated 19, with no coding region annotated. The record is from RefSeq and is a predicted model, not a curated record. Lineage: Eukaryota; Metazoa; Chordata; Mammalia; Diprotodontia; Phascolarctidae.
CUGUUGCCCUGUGGGAGUUCCAAGGUUGCUCCUAUGGAAGGAGGGAGCUGAGGAGGAGGCCUGGCCUGAGCCAAAGGAUGAUUAUUACAACAUGGAUUGUGUACAUAAUGGCCCGGAAAAAAAUGGGAUAUUGCUUCCCACCAAAAGCCAGUUCGGACAUUGAAGUUGUGGAAAGCCAGGCAGUAUCAGUGGUACAACACUGGCUGAAAAAGACUGAAGAAGAGGCUUCCCAAGGUAUCAAACAAAAGAUGUCAAACUGUCCUCCAACUCAUGGCCAAGAAGUACAUGUGACAAGAGAUGUGAAACAUCGUGUUUCAAAAUCUGAGUUAUCAUUAAAUCGGAGCCAAGAGGUCCUUGAGGAGAGAACAAGGAUCCAGUUCAUAAGAUGGAGCCACACCCGUAUCUUCCAAGUCCCAAGCGAUGUGAGAGAUGAGGCCAUGCGGGAGAGGAUAGAGCAGGUGAGAAGAAGCGUGUCUCAAGUUAUGGUUGAAUGUGCCCCCAGUGUUCAAGACUCUUUCUCAGACUGCUAGGAUCAGCAGCCCAAAGGUCAGAAGGAUCAUGAGGCCCUGCUUUUAAGGAAAAAAACUUACUGAAAAUCAAGAUCACAGAAGCUUUUGUUCCCUGGACUAGGAGUCAGGAGACCUGGGUUCUAAUCUCAGCUCUGCUACUAACCAGGUUGGUGUCCUUUCUGGUUCACAUUUGAGGUCCUCCUGCUCCCCCUGACCUGGAUGUUUGACCAGUGUGGCAUGUCCUGGGGAAAGAAUAUCCAUCUGAUGAAUCCAUAACCUUGACAGUGGUGACAUUUGCAUCUUCCCACUAAACUACUAAAUAAAGAGACAUGCUAUUUAAGAACCAU